GACGGAGGGUGCUAGCGUUGUUCGGAAUCACUGGGCGUAAAGGGCGCGUAGGCGGCCAAGGCAGUCGGCUCGUGAAAGCCCGGGGCUCAACCCCGGAGGUGCGGCCGAUACUCUUUGGCUCGAGGCCGGAAGAGGAGGGUGGAAUACCCAGUGUAGAGGUGAAAUUCGUAGAUAUUGGGUGGAACACCGGUGGCGAAAGCGGCUCUCUGGUCCGGUCCUGACGCUGAGGCGCGAAAGCGUGGGGAGCAAACAGG
This 254-nucleotide ribosomal RNA is filed under the name uncultured bacterium. RNAcentral describes it as "partial 16S ribosomal RNA". It matches the Rfam family "Bacterial small subunit ribosomal RNA", at positions 524 to 776 of the family's 1533-position model. The record is from RNAcentral.